AUGAAGUGAACACAGUGUUAUAUAUCACCCUCAGGAGGCCUUCUCUGAUCACUGCCUACCUUCACUCAGUGGGGAUCCCUCCUGCCCCUCCUCAGUGGGCUGUGUCAACUCUCCUACUGUCUGCCACAGUGUUGUCUGUAGAGAGGUUGAACAUCUUGACACUCCGAGGAAUAACACGCUAGUCUAUGCCAUUGAUGGUGUUGUGCUGAUUGGACUUCGGCGAGCAGGGAUACCAACUAUUUAGGUUCCUUACGAAGACACAAGUGAGCCAGAGAGAAGGAAAGCUUUGAGAAUUUUUGAAUAGCUGGGAAAAAAGUAGAAAAAAUGCGAGCUAGUUCUUAUGGAAUUGGGGGACCUCAAAAGAUGCUAUGAACAGAUUUGGACAUAUUUUGUAAUAUGUGCUUGUUUCUAAUGAACAAAAAAAACCUGUCUUCUUAAUUAGGAUGAAUGUAAUUUGGAGGAAUCUUUGAACUGUUGCCUACCGACAAUCAAACCUGAAAAAUCCAAAUCUAACAUGACUGAAUGGCUGAUGGGUGUUUUGAAAUGACAGCUUUUUGAUUAAUUAGAAAUUAAAGCAGCAUGUCACUUCACAUGUAAAACUGAAAGUGCUCCAUCUAAACAUCCUCUUCAGAUAAUUAAAAUGUGACAUGUAAUGCCAGUUGAUUGACUUU
Molecule: long non-coding RNA, 671 nt
Organism: Lutra lutra (Eurasian river otter)
Lineage: Eukaryota; Metazoa; Chordata; Mammalia; Carnivora; Mustelidae
Exons: 5
Source: RefSeq, a predicted model, not a curated record